UUCUUCAACACCACAUAUUGUCUAAAACUGAAACAAUACAGAGAAGAUUACAUGGCCCUAUAUGAAGAUACCUGAAUUCAUGAAGCAAGUCAUUUUUUU
This is a small nuclear RNA of Delphinapterus leucas (beluga whale), 99 nucleotides long. The record is from Ensembl. NCBI's taxonomy places the organism in Eukaryota, Metazoa, Chordata, Mammalia, Artiodactyla, Monodontidae.